GCCCGAGUGGCGGAAUGGCAGACGCGACGGAUUCAAAAUCCGUUGUUCGAAAGGGCGUGUGGGUUCAAGUCCCACCUCGGGCACCC
This 86-nucleotide transfer RNA is filed under the name Actinomycetota bacterium. Its description in RNAcentral is "Actinobacteria bacterium (freshwater metagenome) tRNA-Leu". It matches the Rfam family "tRNA". From Rfam's summary of the family: Transfer RNA (tRNA) molecules are approximately 80 nucleotides in length. Lineage: Bacteria; Bacillati; Actinomycetota. The record is from RNAcentral.